Molecule: long non-coding RNA, 771 nt
Filed under: Anas platyrhynchos platyrhynchos (common mallard)
Lineage: Eukaryota; Metazoa; Chordata; Aves; Anseriformes; Anatidae
Description: lncRNA (ENSAPLG00000020361.1)
Source: RNAcentral
CUCCCCAGCUGCAGUGUGGAGCACAUUUUUUAUACCUGGUCCUGCCCAGACUGUCUACUAUGAAGAAAUUAACUGUACCCCAGCUUAAACCAGGACAAGCUAAAAAAUAAGAUUAUCAGCCUAAUACAGUUACCCGAGACAGUAUGUUGGAAUAAAACAAAGAGAAACAAACAACAAGAAACAAACCAACAAGAAAACCUGUCUGACAGUAAGAUGUAUUUGUCUGGUGAUGAUUCGAGUGUAAUUUUGUCUCGUUGCUUUGAGAGAGUAGAGCUGCAUGUUCAUGUGUGGUCCCAGUAAUCAGGGUGUGGUCAGAUUUUUGAGCUCUGGGAAGGGGUUUUUGGAACAGUCCUGCUAAUUUCUUUAAGCAGACAGUUUUUCAUCCCACAAGAAAUAUUAUGAACUCAUGGUAUUUAUGGCUCUCAGUGUCUGCCAGUCCUCAUUGGAGUCAUCAGUACAGAACAAUUAUGUUUGCAGUGCUCAACUUCUCAGUGAUGAAGUCAGAUCUUUUCCUUGCUUAUUGAAUGCCUGGAGAAGAUUUAUAAUCUUUUCAAUCCGGGAGAUAUGUGAUCAAGAAUGGAUGAAGCUGCACAAGUGAAUGUAUAUGAGUACUGUACCAAGGAAAAUGAAAACAAAAGUAUAGUACUAGAUGUCACCCCAUCAUCUCACAGUCAAAAGAUUGGCUCUUAAGUAACACACAAACUUCAUGUGGGGAAUUUUAGCCACAGGGAAGAAAAUAAAGUCUGAGUUGUUAUAAAGGAGCUUUUGAAA